CGGGCGUUUCAAAACCAAAGUUCUCCCACCAUGCAACUGGGUCCAUUUUAUCCCGGCAAUCCACAGCAUCUUCUUCUCCUAAGGAUCCCUCUAGAUGCCAGUAUGAGCUGAGCUGCUCUCUAAGAACACGUCUGGCUGCACUUUCAACUUCAUAUCUUUCUAGAGUAGCUUUCCAGCCCCGCAUUACAGAUUUCUCUUUGGUUUGAAAUUUUCCAAUAAAUCUCGGAUUCAGUAUAUAGCCUGCAGCAUGAAGAGGGGAAAAUAGUACAUCCCAUUUGUUCUCAAUCAUUCCUUCCAAUUGAUUCAAUAUGUCAACAUCAAUUGCCAU
Molecule: unclassified non-coding RNA, 328 nt
Filed under: Hevea brasiliensis (rubber tree)
Lineage: Eukaryota; Viridiplantae; Streptophyta; Magnoliopsida; Malpighiales; Euphorbiaceae
Source: RNAcentral